Long non-coding RNA from Orbicella faveolata, 1110 nucleotides. NCBI's taxonomy places the organism in Eukaryota, Metazoa, Cnidaria, Anthozoa, Scleractinia, Merulinidae. The record is from RefSeq and is a predicted model, not a curated record.
CAGCGGGAGACACCAUUGCAAAAUGCUGGCGCAUGUCUUCUGCUGCUUUUGAUCCGGGAGAUUCCACGGGCUACAGGCCAUGGCGGAAAAGUGGUGUUACGAAGCGAAAAUUAUUUGUCUUGGCUUUUGAAUUAUUCCAACAGUGUUGAACGAAGCAAAGCAGAUAAUCAGUCUGUGCUCUGCGGGCUACUUCGUAGAAAAAAUAUAAAACGUUAGGAGUCAUUGUGCACGUUUUGUGAGAACAGAUGUAAGCUCAAGUCUGCGGCGAGACAGGCUGAUUGCUCGAAAAUCGUAAGGUGUGUGUUUGUGCGACUUCAUCGUUCAAAAUGAGCUCAGCCCACGGAGGAAGAAGAAGGCCGCUUACCAGGACAACCUCUUCGUCGGAAGACCAAGCUUUGAAUCAAAUUGCUCGUGAGGCUGAAGCACGUCUUGCCGCUAAGAGAGCAGCCAGAGCUGAGGCGAGAAGUAUUCGUCUGAAAGAGCUUGAACGCCAGCAACAGGAAGGAGAAAAUGUAUGUCCACAUAGCCAACAAUGAGUUUAGUUGCUUUAUUUACAUUAUCUACUGCAGAAAGGUGCUGUAAAUUUGGUCACUCUAGAACCAGUAGUUACAAAGAACGUACAAGUCACAAGUCCCAGGGAGUUACUCGUGAAGUUACCUCUUUAUUCCCAUUUCCCUCAGUCUCUAACCCUACCAUAUCUCCAACGGGAUCCUGUAUCAACCCCUUCACUACCCCCACAUUAACCAUACUUCAACAAGAUUUUAUCUCUUUUGUACUCUCCUAGAUUUAAAUACCUGCUGUCUCUGUCUUUAUAGUCCAUCUUCAUCUCCAUUACAGGGCUGUCAAUAAGGGCCAUAACCUGUAGCAUCUGUUACGGCUGAGCAUGCUUGAUGGCCCUCUUUUGUUACGGGUGAACUUGGUAGUUGAUACAAUUCACCCAUAACGUAACAAAUUUGUUACGGGUUUGAAGAUCAAGGCUAAAGGUGAAUCAAAACUGAAUGACAGCCCUGCAUUAGGCUAUGCAAGAAAUUUCCCCAUAUUUGUUAGUCAGAUAAAUGAUUGGUUUGAUUUGAUUAGACUCCCCCUUCUCCUUUGAUGAAAAUACACUAG